GACGAACGCUGGCGGCGUGCUUAACACAUGCAAGUCGAGCGGUAAGGCCCUUUCGGGGGUACACGAGCGGCGAACGGGUGAGUAACACGUGGGUGACCUGCCCUUACGCUCUGGGAUAAGCCUGGGAAACUAGGGUCUAAUACCGGAUAUGACUCCAUGACGCAUGUUGUGGGGUGGGAAAGCCUUGUGCGGCUAGGGAUGGGCCCGCGGCCUAUCAGCUUGUUGGUGGGGUGAUGGCCUACCAAGGCGACGACGGGUAGCCGGCCUGAGAGGGCGACCGGCCACACUGGGGACUGGGACACGGCCCAGACUCCUACGGGAGGCAGCAGUGGGGAAUCUUGCGCAAUGGGCGAAAGCCUGACGCAGCGACGCCGCGUGAGGGAUGACGGCCUU
Molecule: ribosomal RNA, 393 nt
Filed under: uncultured bacterium
Lineage: Bacteria
Description: bacterial SSU rRNA
Rfam family: Bacterial small subunit ribosomal RNA
Source: RNAcentral